This 70-nucleotide ribosomal RNA is filed under the name Vibrio cholerae. Its description in RNAcentral is "partial 23S ribosomal RNA". Lineage: Bacteria; Pseudomonadati; Pseudomonadota; Gammaproteobacteria; Vibrionales; Vibrionaceae. The record is from RNAcentral.
GUGAGGCGUUGAGCUAACCUGUACUAAUUGCCCGUGAGGCUUAACCAUACAACACCCAAGGGGUUUUGUA